RNAcentral lists this ribosomal RNA (445 nucleotides) under uncultured bacterium. Its description in RNAcentral is "SSU rRNA". It matches the Rfam family "Bacterial small subunit ribosomal RNA", at positions 26 to 518 of the family's 1533-position model. The record is from RNAcentral.
AGAGCGAACGCUGGCGGCAGGCCCAAAACAUGCAAGUCGAACGGAUCCUUCGGGAUUAGUGGCGGACGGGUGAGUAACACGUAGGAACGUGCCUUUUGGUUCGGAACAACUCAGGGAAACUUGAGCUAAUACCGAAUGUGCCCUUCGGGGGAAAGAUUUAUCGCCAUUAGAGCGGCCCGCGUCUGAUUAGCUAGUUGGUAGGGUAAAGGCCUACCAAGGCUACGAUCAGUAGCUGGUCUGAGAGGAUGAUCAGCCACACUGGGACUGAGACACUGCCCAGACUCCUACGGGGGGCUGCAGUAACGAAUCUCGCAAUGCACGAAAGUGUGACGGAGCGACGCCGCGUGUGGGACGAAGCCCCCUCGGGGUGUAAACCACUGUCAGGGGAUAGAAAGUUCUGAUCAUCCCCAGAGGAAGGCACGGCUAACUCUGUGCCAGCAGCCGC